AGAAAACUUGCUGUUUUUAUUUCAUUCUUAAGUAACCACAGUUGCUAAUGGGACAAAUGUGCCUCGGGCACUGCAGAAGCCCGUAAGCACUGGAACAGAACUGGCCACUGCCACCACCCUCAGUUCUAUCCCAAAUUGAUUCUCUUUCACAGGGUACUCGCUUUGAAUUGUGAUAACCACAACAUCCCAGCAUUGCAGAGAUACACGUAAAUGCAAGGAAUGUAUUGUGUCCUGAUGCUGAAACUGUGAACUACCUUGAGCUAACACUGUAGAGUGGCAUCUAACAGACAGAGUUAUGUUUCCCUGAAAUAUUUGAAAUGGCCCACUGUGACCCUGUGAAUACAGUACCCAGGCAACUCCUGAGCUCAAGCCAUCCUCCCGCCUCUGCCUCCCACAGUGCUAGGAUUACAGGACUGAGCCACCGCGCCCCUGGCCAUACAUUUUUAUUACUUUGAAAAAUAUCUCGGUUCUGCAGCCUGCUCCUUUUUCAAACCGAAGCAGGCAUUUGCCUCAUUACGCAGUUGCGGUCUGCACAACUCUGGCCACCAGGUGGCGCCCGCCCCCCGCCGUUUCUCGAAGGAUCUGUUGCCUGGAUGGAGCGCUAGUUGCUCAAAUCAGUUCGUUCAACACAAGAAGAGUCAGAAGAGAAGUUGGUCACAGAGCCACACCCUGACUUGAACUUUGCAUGUCGAACUGCAAGCCCUUUUUCCAUACCCCAGGCCCUACCUGAGAGGCUCCCUGCCCACCCCUCCCGUCACAGUGGCUCCGACAGCAGUUCCAGCCGUUCCAGCCGUAGCUACAGGCGAACCACUGGGGAAGCACGAGGGAGUUACUACAUGCUGAUAAGAGAACCUACAAAUUCCAAUGAAACAUGACAUCGACUAGGAGAUUUGGAUUCAAAAUUUUAAUAAUAAAUUGUGCCAGUAGAAGCUU
Non-coding RNA from Microcebus murinus (gray mouse lemur), 933 nucleotides. The record is from RefSeq and is a predicted model, not a curated record. NCBI's taxonomy places the organism in Eukaryota, Metazoa, Chordata, Mammalia, Primates, Cheirogaleidae.